Molecule: ribosomal RNA, 292 nt
Filed under: Vibrio diabolicus
Lineage: Bacteria; Pseudomonadati; Pseudomonadota; Gammaproteobacteria; Vibrionales; Vibrionaceae
Description: partial 16S ribosomal RNA
Rfam family: Bacterial small subunit ribosomal RNA
Source: RNAcentral
GAGAGGAUGAUCAGCCACACUGGAACUGAGACACGGUCCAGACUCCUACGGGAGGCAGCAGUGGGGAAUAUUGCACAAUGGGCGCAAGCCUGAUGCAGCCAUGCCGCGUGUGUGAAGAAGGCCUUCGGGUUGUAAAGCACUUUCAGUCGUGAGGAAGGUAGUGUGUUUAAUAGAUGCAUUAUUUGACGUUAGCGACAGAAGAAGCACCGGCUAACUCCGUGCCAGCAGCCGCGGUAAUACGGAGGGUGCGAGCGUUAAUCGGAAUUACUGGGCGUAAAGCGCAUGCAGGUGG